Canis lupus familiaris (dog) is the source of this 722-nucleotide long non-coding RNA. RefSeq lists it as uncharacterized. The record is from RefSeq and is a predicted model, not a curated record. The transcript is spliced from 3 exons. NCBI's taxonomy places the organism in Eukaryota, Metazoa, Chordata, Mammalia, Carnivora, Canidae.
GCGGGGAAGGCACAUGACUCAGCAUCCUCCGGCCGCGAGGACCGCGCCGCCCUGAGCCCGAGCUCCCAGACGCGUGGCAGUUGGGGAUGUCGCCCCCAACCCCCAUGUCUCCUUCGACCGAGGACCGUCCCUUGCUUCUUUGACCUGCGGUUCCCUGGCGGUGCUCGCCGCGCCUCUGGGUCGGCAAGUUGCAGUGAGGCUGAACUUCAGGCCCGGGGGAUGCGGCGGCGGCAGCUCCCCGGAGGCGGCGCUGGGGGAGCGGGCGGGGGUGCCGGCGCCGACCUCGCACCCCGGGGAGAGGGGCGGCAACGCAAACCAAGGAUUUUCCGCGCAUACAUAGUCUGCAUCAAACAGCGCGGUGAUGGGGACCCGCACCUCUCUGCGGGUGCGGCGGGCGACGCCCUGGGAGGCCCGUGGCGGCUCGGCUCCAGCUCCCCAGCGGGGGCGCUGUCGCAGCGGGCAAGCGCCGCACCCAGCAGGGGGCUGCAGAACCAGGGUCUGAGUAUACUCAAUCACGACAGUUUCUGGAAAGAAUAUUAAGGAAUAAAGAUGAUGCGUCAUCAGAAACGGCACAAAGUAUUCAAAUAAUAAAAUCUUCUUUCCAUGUAUCUAUCUUCCUAAAAAUGGAACUUUUAAGAAAUGAAAGCUCUUAGUUAAUGAGUUUAAUUAAAGAAUUUGGAUAUCCUAUUAAUUAAGAGGAAAAAUAAAAGCCAUUCAAUUAA